UGCGGCGCGGCGCGCAUUGCGUUUCCAAGUGUUUAAAACGCGCUUGGUGUGAUUGGCCCUUUAUUGUAACACUCCAAAUGUCUUCAAAGGCCAUCGAAGUCUGUUCCUUCACUUCUCACUCACAGCCUUAAAGGUUCUGUCAGCAGGCCAGUUCUCCUCCGCAGGAGGUGAACUGGAGGAUUUGGGAUGUUCUCAGCUCUGAUUAGCGGGGAAUGUCAUGUGACAGCACGAGGAUUAUCUUGUUCCAGUAUGAGAGGACUAAGUGUGGAAAGCAUGCAACUGCACUCUGCAACCGUCCACUGCGUUUGCCUGAUUAGGGUCUGCGAUAGAGUGAUGGAGAGGAGACGUCAUUGGCGGUGAAGCUGAAGAAAACUGUGAUGAACUGCGCUAAGAUAACUAAAGCAAAUCUUCACUGACCUUCAGUGGCAGCUGUAGUCCACGCAGAUGUUGCAACACUUAGGUACAUAUGUACAAGUGUCCUUCAUCUGUUCUUAUCUUUCUCCUCCUCACCUCUCACAUGAUUCUGCCUCUCCUACAGACACACAUUCAUGGUGUCGUCAUUAUUCGGAGGUGUCAUGGUCAACUCAAUUCUGGUCUUGAUUUGGGCAUUUCUGAGUUUAAGUUUGCAGCAGUGUCUUUGUAUGUAAGUCUAGUGUCUUUUGUACUACUACCAACAUUAAAAACUAAAUCCGGUAAUUGUUUCAAUGUUUAUAACUAGCGGAGAAUGCUUUUUGGUUUUGGCUCAAUCAUUCAAAAAAAUUUGAGUUUGAUUAUUUAUAUUUUUACACAAGCAACACACACAUCUCUGCUACAAAUGAACAUUCGAAGUUUGUUUCUAGUACUUACCAUUCUUGGACAAUUACAACAAACGUGACAGAAGUGCAAACGUUACAACUUACCCCAGAGGUGGGGUUAAUUGUAACAGGUGGGGGGUUAGUUGUAACACUUGCUAAAAAUUAAGUUUGCAGGGAAAUUUUAUGGGUAUUUCCCAGAAUUCGGGCCUAUUUAUGUCCCCAGGGUGUAAUUUUAUUAAAAACAAAUCAAAUCUAAAGCCCGGAAUACACUGCACGAUAAUUGGCUGUCCCAGACGAAAGAUUGCCAUCGUGAAACUAUCGUCGCGAUUUCUGUGAUCGUGGCUCUCCAUCGGUGGUCCUAUGUCGUACAGUGAGAGAGGUUCAAAGACGGCCGUUUUCCCGGUCUUGCGUCCAAAGAUAGCCUACGAUAGUUUUCUGGCAGUGUCAGAAAUUCGGCAUGAUCACCGCACAGUGUGUUUGCUGCUACGACCUGCGCGCCGGUAUUUGUUUACCACGAGCGCAUGCUGGUGACGUUGCGCAACGUGUGACGCAGCCGCCGAAGCUUCUGUGUCAUCAUCGUACAGUCUACAUGCCUCUCGUACCCGAGUUUAAACGAUACAUGUCGCACAGUGUGAUAAGGUAAUGAUCUUAUAAGAGGACAAAAAUCGUGCAGUGUA
Molecule: non-coding RNA, 1471 nt
Organism: Misgurnus anguillicaudatus (oriental weatherfish)
Lineage: Eukaryota; Metazoa; Chordata; Actinopteri; Cypriniformes; Cobitidae
Source: RefSeq, a predicted model, not a curated record